CAUAAUAACCUAAUCUUUCUCCUCAGCACACAGAUGCCCUCUUGGGCUUCCCAUCCAGGUCCAUUUUCUGUGUAGUAGCCAAAAGUCUUUUAAAGAACCAUUUAUUGACUUAUUUUACUAUGUUUUAUAUACAUUAUCUACAUUGUCUCCUUACUUCACAGACACCUACAGAAGAAUGCUUCUUAUCUGCAGCAGAUCCACAUUGCCUGACCGUUUGGGUCCUGCAUGGCACACGUUUCGUACACGUGCUGCCUCCACCAGUAUCAAGCACUGCUGAGUUUGUGUGGAAGGGCAACAACUCCACCUAACAAAUACAUUCAUCUGGAAAGAGGCAAGAAGGGAAAGAGAUUCUGAUACUGAAGCUACUAUUUAUUAUUUGUAAAUCAAUUUGACACCUUUGGAACCAAAGCAGCAACCCAAGAACAAAGUAUGAUUUAGCCUCAAGUGUAAAGUGAGCCACUACCAAGAUGUUCCUGCCAGUGACUCUGCCUCAGGUGUCCUGGAAAAGCUGCUGUGGACAGUUGUGACCUGGCUAAUCAACUGGACAGGAAAAAGCUACUAACAAUAAAACAGAGGCCAAAAUUCUUGUUAGCA
RNAcentral lists this long non-coding RNA (594 nucleotides) under Vulpes vulpes (red fox). RNAcentral describes it as "lncRNA (ENSVVUG00000000128.1)". The record is from RNAcentral. Lineage: Eukaryota; Metazoa; Chordata; Mammalia; Carnivora; Canidae.